UUUCUUCAACUUUAAUUAAUCUUGAUGAAUCAAAUAUGAAAACGAUUGGAUUUUGAAUUCUCUAGUCUAUUUUUUUGUUUUCCUUUUCUUUUGCCUUUGUGUUCUUGAUGACCCAAUUCCCAAAUAUGAAAAAGAUUGGAUUUUGAAUACUCCAAGUCUAUUUUUGUGUUCUUGAUGACCCAAAUGAGAAAGAUUGGAUUCUGUUUCUUCAGCUGACAUAGUUGUGUUUAUAUGUGCCUUAUUUUUUUCUUGGAAUUUCAGCUGCUUUUGUUCUAUUUUAUCUUUGAUAAUUGCAAGUAAAUAGGAGUAUUUGUUUCCUCUGCAGUGUAAGAGCAGGGAUUUGCAGUAGAAGAAUCAAACUUCAAUAAAUUGAAUAGCUAAAUUGGGGCUGAAAUUCGCGGUUUUACCAACUUAUGCACUACCUUGGAAGUAUCUGAAAGUUCUUGAGAAGGGAUUAUUCUGGUUUUGUGGAUAAAUUAUUCUCCACAAUGUGUUCGAUUCCUGAUAAAAGCAUGCUACCUUCAAAAUUUCUGUUCUGUCUAAUAGCCAUUUCUGUUUUCCUUUUGAUAGUUUCUUCACUUUCCCUUUUUCAAUUUGCUGACCAUUCUUUUAUGCCCAAAUCAGUUUUUAGUUUAGUUCUUGUUAAUGAUACUUCAGUUUACUUGACCUCAAGUAGUGGGGAACCUAAAGAUGCUUUCUUGCCUGCUGAAACUUCACAUGAACAAAUACUGAAAACCCAAGAGUUGGCUUAUGAAACUUCCAGUUUCGGCAACAAUUCCGGUGGAUUAGGAAUUGGGAAAUCUUGUGGUCCAGAACAAGCUCUCCUUAGAGUGUAUAUGUAUGACUUACCUCCUGUAUUUCACUUUGGGCUAUUAGGUUGGAAAGGAAGUAAGGAUGAAACAUGGCCUAGUGUUAGUAACCCGAGCCAAAUACCCUCGUACCCUGGGGGCUUAAAUUUACAGCACAGCAUUGAAUAUUGGCUUACUCUUGACCUUCUAUCCUCAAAUACCCCAAAUAUUAAUGGACCUUGCAAUGCUGUCAGAGUAUCAAAUUCGAGUGAAGCAGAUGUAAUCUUUGUGCCCUUCUUUUCGUCGUUGAGUUACAACAGGCAUUCUAAGGUACUAGGGAAGAAGAAAAUCAGUCUCAAUAGAGUGCUGCAGGAUAAACUGGCGGAAUUUUUAAAAGGUAGAGACGAGUGGAAGCAAAGGGGCGGAAAGGAUCAUCUGAUCAUAGCUCACCACCCUAAUAGUAUGUUGGAUGCAAGAGAGAAGCUUGGUUCCGCCAUGUUUGUACUUGCAGAUUUUGGAAGGUAUGGAGCCGAAAUAGCAAACAUUGAAAAGGAUGUGGUUGCUCCUUACAAACAUAUGGUCCAGACAAUAGGUGCUGACAGCUCGCCCUCAUUCAGACAACGAGAUACAUUAGUUUACUUCCAAGGGGCAAUCUUUAGAAAAGACGGUGGAGAGAUUCGUCUGGAAUUAUACUACCUUCUCAAAGAUGAAAAAGAUGUACACUUCACAUUUGGAAGUAUCCAAGCGCAUGGUGUUAGGGAUGCUGGAAAAGGAAUGUCCUCGUCCAAAUUCUGCCUGAAUAUUGCUGGAGACACUCCAUCUUCAAAUCGUCUCUUUGAUGCCAUUGCUAGGCACUGUGUUCCGGUAAUAAUUAGUGAUGAUAUUGAGCUUCCAUUCGAAGAUGUUCUUGAUUACUCGGAGUUUUGUGUGUUUGUCCAUUCAUCUGAUGCUGUAAAGAAGGGGUACCUUCUGAACUUUCUUAGAGGAAUGAAGGAAGAUCAGUGGACCAAAAUGUGGGAAAGGCUAAAGGUGGUCAGCAAAUAUUUUGAAUAUCAAUAUCCAUCCCAAACUAAUGAUGCAGUGGAUAUGAUUUGGCAGGCAGUUUCAAGGAAGGUGUCACAUAUACAGCUGAAGGAUCACCGUAACAACAGAUUCCACAGGUCACAGCGUUUGUGAUUAUUUAUGUGAAAUUUGAAUCAAUCAUCUUGUACUUCUAGGAGAUCAGAUGCCAGAUUGAGCUGGAUUCUCUAUCUUACGGUCAUCGAAGGUGCAGGUGCUAUAUUGAGCCGUGUUUGCAAGUCCUGCACGACAGCAGCCUUUAGAAUCCGAGAACUUCUCAGAUGAAAUAAGCUGUCUUCUCCCCAUCUGAGUGCAAGAUCUAUACUUC
Solanum stenotomum is the source of this 2175-nucleotide RNA transcript. It is a transcript of the gene named probable arabinosyltransferase ARAD1, with no coding region annotated. Lineage: Eukaryota; Viridiplantae; Streptophyta; Magnoliopsida; Solanales; Solanaceae. The transcript is spliced from 3 exons. The record is from RefSeq and is a predicted model, not a curated record.